UAUCUCUGUAGAGUCUGCAUAUCAAUAAGCGGAGGAAAAGAAACUAACUAGGAUUCCCUCAGUAACGGCGAGUGAAGCGGGAAGAGCUCAAAUUUGAAAUCUUCAAGGUUUUACCUUGACGAAUUGUAGUUUAAAGAAGUGUUUUCUGUUGGAAUUUUGGUAAAAGUUCUUUGGAAAAAGACAUCAAUAGAGGGUGAGAAUCCCGUAUUUGACCAUUAUUUCCAGCUGUGUGAUACACUUUCAAAGAGUCGGAUUGUUUGGGAAUGCAGUCCAAAAUGGGUGGUAAAUUUCAUCUAAAGCUAAAUACUUGGCGAGAGACCGAUAGCGAACAAGUACCGUGAGGGAAAGAUGAAAAGAACUUUGAAAAGAGAGUUAAACAGUACGUGAAAUUGUCAAAAGGGAAGCGUUUGACACCAGUGUUGUUUUCUCGAAAAUCAAUUAAAAAUGAUUGAUUUUGUGUUGUAUUGACCUUAUAAGCUUUCUGCACUUUUUUCAUGUCUUUUUUAAUGCACUUUUCGUUUAACAAGUCAACAUCAGUUUCUUUUGUUGUAAAAGGGUCAUUGGAAGGUGGCUUUCUUUUCGGAGAAAGUGUUUAUAGCCUUUGGACUUCUGCAAUCGGAGAGAUUGAGGUCUGCAGCGUAGAUCCUUCGGGGUUAGAUACAUUUGUGCUAAGUUAUAGCCUUUCAUAGACAACUUGUUGACUAUGAUCAGUCAUGUAGCUUACUCGCUUAUGUCAUUUUACCUACGCUUAGGAUGUUGAUCUCUCACAGUCGAGC
Molecule: ribosomal RNA, 776 nt
Filed under: uncultured Neocallimastigales
Lineage: Eukaryota; Fungi; Neocallimastigomycota; Neocallimastigomycetes; Neocallimastigales
Description: partial large subunit ribosomal RNA
Rfam family: Eukaryotic large subunit ribosomal RNA
Source: RNAcentral